GACAUCACCAUUCCUGAGCCAUGAGAGAGGGAUCAAUUAUGUUGAGAAGAAAUACUAGAUUGAGGAAAUAUUUGUACAGAAAUAGCUUAGAAGGCAAAGAACGCCUUAUCUACGAGAAGAAGCGCAAGAUUAGAGAAGCUCUGCAAGAGGGAAAACCGAUUCCCACUGAGCUUCGGAAUGAAGAGGCGGUGCUUCGUUGAGAAAUCGAUCUCGAAGAUGAGAACACUGCUGUACCAAGGACACAUAUCGACGAUGAGUAUGCAAAGGCAGCAAAAAGAGAUCCCAAGAUUUUGAUAACUACUUCCUGGAAUCCGAGUGCUCCGCUAGUACAAUUUGCAAAGGAACUGAACCUUGUUUUUCCUAAUGCACAACAAAUGAACCGUGGUGGCCAGGUUACUUCUGAAAUUAUUGAAACUUGCCGUGCACAUGAUUUUACAGAUGUUGUGUUGGUUCAUGAAAAUCGUGGCGUACCUGAUGGUUUGUUUAUAAUCCCCUUCCCUUUGAUCCAACAGCAUUUUUUGAACUGCUCAAUGUUUAAUAGGUUACAAGACAUGACAUCAAGGACAAGAAAGCUAUGGGAACAAUGCCGCAGGUUUAUCCACAUUUGAUUCUUGACAAUUUCAUGACCAAGUUGGGUGAGAGAAUAGCAAAUAUUUUGAAGCAUCUCUUUCCAAUGCCAAAGCCAGAUACAAAACGCAUAAACACUUUUUCCAAUCGGUCGGACUAUAUUUCAUUCAGGCAUCAUACUUGUGGGAAGCAUGGAGGUCCUAAAUCCAUUGAGCUGGAGGAGAUUGGCCCUUGGUUUGAAAUGAAGCUUUUCAAGAUAAAGAUGGGAACACUGGAUCAGACUGAAACCCAGGAUGAAUGGUUCUCCAAGCGAUGCAUGAACACAGCCAAGAAACAGAAGUUUAUAGGGAUUUGAGGUGCCGCGAAUUUUUGAUCGGUCGCUGUUACUCGCUUGGACAAAUUAUGAUUGUGGGAAGAGAUCAUAACCUUGUUCAUUCAUACAAAUAUUUCAAUCAUAACUGAAUGCCAUAACCUAGUAUUCAAAUUCACAGAUGUAACUAGUUGUCUUGCAAACGUUGCAAUCGUGCAGUACAAAAUACUUGAGAAACAUGAGCAGAUUUCAUAAUCCAGUUCAUUCAUACAAAGUA
This is an RNA transcript of Prunus dulcis (almond), 1154 nucleotides long. It is a transcript of the gene named U3 small nucleolar ribonucleoprotein protein IMP4-like, with no coding region annotated. The record is from RefSeq and is a predicted model, not a curated record. The transcript is spliced from 9 exons. Lineage: Eukaryota; Viridiplantae; Streptophyta; Magnoliopsida; Rosales; Rosaceae.